UGCAGUCGAGGGGCAGCACAUGAGUAGUAAUACGAUGGUGGCGACCGGCGCACGGGUGAGUAACACGUAUGCAACCUGCCUGUAAGAGGGGAAUAACCCGUUGAAAGACGGACUAAUACCGCAUAAUACUUUAGAUCUGCAUGGAUUUAGAGUUAAACAUUUAUGGCUUACAGAUGGGCAUGCGUAUGAUUAGAUAGUUGGUGAGGUAACGGCUCACCAAGUCAACGAUCAUUAGGGGUUCUGAGAGGAAGGUCCCCCACACUGGUACUGAGACACGGACCAGACUCCUACGGGAGGCAGCAGUGAGGAAUAUUGGUCAAUGGGCGCAAGCCUGAACCAGCCAUCCCGCGUGCAGGAAGACGGCCCUAUGGGUCGUAAACUGCUUUUCUGGAGGAAGAAUUGCCCCGACGUGUCGGGGUUUGACAGUACUUCAGGAAUAAGCAUCGGCUAACUCCGUGCCAGCAGCCGCGGUAAUACGGAGGAUGCGAGCGUUAUCCGGAUUUAUUGGGUUUAAAGGGUGCGUAGGCGGACUAGUAAGUCAGUGGUGAAAUCCUGCAGCUUAACUGUAGAAUUGCCAUUGAUACUGUUGGUCUUGAGUUUGGUUAGGGUAGGCGGAAUGUGUAAUGUAGCGGUGAAAUGCUUAGAUAUUACCCAGAACACCGAUUACGAAGGCAGCUUACUGGACCGAUACUGACGCUAAUGCACGAAAGCGUGGGGAGCAAACAGGAUUAGAUACCCUGGUAGUCCACGCCGUAAACGAUGAUCACUCGCUGUUGGCGAUACACAGUCAGCGGCUAAGCGAAAGCAUUAAGUGAUCCACCUGGGGAGUACGGCCGCAAGGUUGAAACUCAAAGGAAUUGACGGGGGCCCGCACAAGCGGAGGAACAUGUGGUUUAAUUCGAUGAUACGCGAGGAACCUUACCUGGGCUUAAAUGUAGACUGCAUAGUGGGGAAACUCACUUUUCCUUCGGGACUGUUUACAAGGUGCUGCAUGGUUGUCGUCAGCUCGUGCCGUAAGGUGUCGGGUUAAGUCCCAUAACCAAGCGCAACCCUUAUCCGUAAGUUGCCAGCGGGUAAAUGCCGGGGA
This 1087-nucleotide ribosomal RNA is filed under the name uncultured bacterium. Its description in RNAcentral is "bacterial SSU rRNA". It matches the Rfam family "Bacterial small subunit ribosomal RNA", at positions 56 to 1137 of the family's 1533-position model. The record is from RNAcentral.